UCAAGUUAUGUGCAGCUGCUGUAAACAUGGACAGAUAUCAAUCAUGCAGGCUCUAAGUUGGCGAGCAAUUAGUACACUGUCUCCCAUGAAGGACCUACAUCACAUUA
This is a small nucleolar RNA of Hibiscus syriacus, 107 nucleotides long. The record is from RefSeq and is a predicted model, not a curated record. Lineage: Eukaryota; Viridiplantae; Streptophyta; Magnoliopsida; Malvales; Malvaceae.